UCUCCCCAAAGUCCCCUCGGUACACUGUUGUGUAUUUUUUGUUGUGGCUCCUUCUAGUUGUGGCAUGUGAGAUGCUGCCUCAGCAUGGCUUGAUGAGCGGUGCCAUGUCCGCGCCCAGGAUUUGAACCGGUGAAACCCCAGACCCCAAAGCCGAGCAGGCAAGCUUAACCACUCGGCCAUGGGGUGGCCCCUGGUUGCUUUUAGUAUGACACAUUUAUAAAUAUAUUUUUUCCCGAUGAAGUAAUUUAGCCUUAAAACUAGAACUGAAUCAUUUGCUAAAAAUAGAAAAUUUUCAGGUUUAUUUGUGAUUUCAAAUUUUUAUGUGGCUCAAGACAGCAAUUGGUAUAAAUUUGAACUUUAAAAAUAAACUUGUACUACAUGACGAUCAAAUGCAAGAUACAAACUCUAACUGGAUCCUAAACAAAAAACAAAAAAGGGGAGGAAGAAAACGGAAGUUCUGGAGGUCAGAAGUCUAAAAUCGAGGUGUUGGUGGGACUGCAUUCUUUCUAGAUGCUGCAGGAGAGAAUGUUUCCUUGCUUUUUUUGGCUUCGAGAAGCUGCCUGCAUUCCUCGGCCGGUGAGCUCUUCCUUGCGUCACUCCAACCCUCUUGCUUCUGUCAUGCCAUCUUCCAGUGGUAACUCUGGGACCCCGCCUCCCUCUAAUAAGGACCCUUGUGAUUUACCUCAGGCCCCUCUGCAUAAUCCAGGAUAAUCUCUCCGUCUCAAGACCCUUAACUUCAUCACACCUGCAAAAUCCCUUUUACCAGCAUGGCUUUUGCCAAGCGGUGCCAUGUCUGCACCCAGGAUCUGAACCGGCAAACCCCAGGCCUCCCAAGUGGAACGUGCGCACUUGACUGCUGUGCCACCGGGCUGGCCCCAUUGUUUUUCUUAAACUAUGAUCGCCUUGGACCAGUGGUUUCUAGAUGUUUUGAUUUUCCAAUUAUUAAAAUUUCCAAAAAAUUUCUGGUGUACUGCUUUUUACCAUCAUUCUACAAAAGAAAGGCCAUUUCAAGACUAAAAACAGUAAGAAUGACUUGACCCCAAAUGAAAGGACUUUUCUUUGAAACAGGAAAUCCAUUUAGCUUUAUGGAAAACACGACUAUGUUUUGUUAACUUCUCUCUCUUCCCUCGACGCAAAUAGAGGAAAGCUGAGGGUCGACAUCAGUUUGGGGAAGGCUGGGGGCGGGGGCGGGGCUUAGACUAACAAUAUCAGGGCCUGUGGUGCCCUCUUGUGGCAGCCUGGGGAGUUACUUCCACCUGACCACUGCCUCUGCUUUGGAGGGACAACUCCCUCACACACCUCAGUCAGUCAGUCAUGC
This 1318-nucleotide long non-coding RNA is filed under the name Equus caballus (horse). RNAcentral's name for it is "lncRNA (ENSECAG00000050785.1)". Lineage: Eukaryota; Metazoa; Chordata; Mammalia; Perissodactyla; Equidae. The record is from RNAcentral.